UCACCCCUCAAGCCUUGUGCUUGGUGUUGGACGGCCUGGUCAGGCGACUGACCCCUCCGAAAGACAAUGACGGCGGCCUGUUGGAACCCCCGGUACACCGAGCUUCUAAUCGAGCACGUAUCGGAUAAGGGCGCCCAGGCCCCGGUCUUCUCCUUUUACUAGGAAAGUUUUUAUGA
Molecule: unclassified non-coding RNA, 176 nt
Filed under: uncultured Herpotrichiellaceae
Lineage: Eukaryota; Fungi; Ascomycota; Eurotiomycetes; Chaetothyriales; Herpotrichiellaceae
Description: sequence contains ITS2
Source: RNAcentral